GUAGGUGGCAAGCGUUGUCCGGAAUUAUUGGGCGUAAAGCGCGCGCAGGCGGUUCUUUAAGUCUGAUGUGAAAGCCCACGGCUCAACCGUGGAGGGUCAUUGGAAACUGGAGAACUUGAGUACAGAAGAGGAAAGCGGAAUUCCACGUGUAGCGGUGAAAUGCGUAGAGAUGUGGAGGAACACCAGUGGCGAGGCGGCUUUCUGGUCUGUAACUGACGCUGAGGCGCGAAAGCGUGGGGGAGCAAACAGGAUUAGAUACCCUGGUAGUCCACGCCGUAAACGAUGAGUGCUAAGUGUUAGGGGGUUUCCGCCCCUUAGUGCUGCAGCUAACGCAUUAAGCACUCCGCCUGGGAGUACGGCCGCAAGGCUG
Molecule: ribosomal RNA, 370 nt
Filed under: uncultured organism
Description: partial 16S ribosomal RNA
Rfam family: Bacterial small subunit ribosomal RNA
Source: RNAcentral